This 778-nucleotide ribosomal RNA is filed under the name uncultured Neocallimastigales. RNAcentral describes it as "partial large subunit ribosomal RNA". It matches the Rfam family "Eukaryotic large subunit ribosomal RNA", at positions 26 to 639 of the family's 3401-position model. The record is from RNAcentral. Lineage: Eukaryota; Fungi; Neocallimastigomycota; Neocallimastigomycetes; Neocallimastigales.
CGCAUCUGUGCAUGCAGCAUAUCAAUAAGCGGAGGAAAAGAAACUAACAAGGAUUCCCUUAGUAACGGCGAGUGAAGCGGGAAGAGCUCAAAUUUGAAAUCUUCAAGGUUUUACCUUGACGAAUUGUAGCUUAAAGAAGUGUUUUCUGUUGAAGUUUUGGUAAAAGUUCUUUGGAAUAGGACAUCAUAGAGGGUGAGAAUCCCGUAUUUGACCAUUAUUUUCAGCUGUGUGAUACACUUUCGAAGAGUCGGAUUGUUUGGGAAUGCAGUCCAAAAUGGGUGGUAAAUUUCAUCUAAAGCUAAAUAUUGGCGAGAGACCGAUAGCGAACAAGUACCGUGAGGGAAAGAUGAAAAGAACUUUGAAAAGAGAGUUAAACAGGUACGUGAAAUUGUCAAAAGGGAAGCGUUUGACACCAGUGUUGUUUUCUCGAAAAUCAAUUAAAAAGAGUUUAGAUUUUGUUGUGUAUUGACCUUAACAGCUUGCAUUUCAAUUUUCUUGCUUUUUUUAAUGCACUUUUCGUUUAACAAGUCAACAUCAGUUUCUUUUGUUGUAAAAAGGUCAUUGGAAGGUGGCUUUCUUUUCGGAGAAAGUGUUUAUAGCCUUUGACUCCUGCAAUCGGAGAGACUGAGGUCUGCAGCGUAGAUCCUUCGGGGUUAGAUACAUUUGUGCUAAGCUACUAGCUUUUCAUAGACAACUUGUUGACUAUGAUUAGUCUUGUAGCUUACCUCGCUUAUGCUAUUUUACCUACGCUUAGGAUGUUGACGCGCGUGUGUGCGUG